Macrostomum lignano is the source of this 1009-nucleotide non-coding RNA. The record is from Rfam. NCBI's taxonomy places the organism in Eukaryota, Metazoa, Platyhelminthes, Macrostomidae.
CAUGGAAUAAUGGACUAGGAAUUCGGUUCUAUUUUGUUGGUUUUCGGAAACCCGAGGUAUGAUUAAGAGAGACAGACGGGGCAUUCGUACUGCGGUGUUAGAGGUGAAAUUCUUGGAUCGCCGCAAGACGAACAACUGCGAAAGCAUUUGCCAAGAAUGUUUCAUUAAUCAAGAACGAAAGUCAGAGGUUCGAAGACGAUCAGAUACCGUCCUAGUUCUGACCAUAAACGAUGCCAACUGGCGAUCCGAGAUCGUUUGCUUAUUGACCUCUCGGGCAGCCUCCGGGAAACCAAAGUUUUUUAGGGUUCCGGGGGAAGUAUGGUUGCAAAGCUGGAACUUAAAGGAAUUGACGGAAGGGCACCACCAGGAGUGGAGCCUGCGGCUUAAUUUGACUCAACAGGGAAAACUCACCCGGCCCGGACACGUGUAGGAUUGACAGAUUGAGAAGCUCUUUCUUGAUUCGGUGGGUGGUGGUGCAUGGCCGUUCUUAGUUGGUGGAAGCGAUUUGUCUGGUUAAUUCCGAUAACGAACGAGACUCUAGCCUGCUAAAUAGUACGCCGAUACCUUUUCGUCGGUGCUUGACUUCUUAGAGGGACAAGCGUCUUGAAGACGCACGAGAUUGAGCAAUAACACAGGUCUGUGAUGCCCUUAGAUGUUCGGGGCCGCACGCGCGCUACACUGAAGGGGACAGCGAGUUUUUCCUGGUUCGAAAGAACCGGGUAAUCUGUUGAAUUCGCCUUCGUGACAGGGAUCGGGGCUUGCAAUUAUUCCCCGUGAACGAGGAAUUCCCAGUAAGCGCAAGUCAUCAGCUUGCGUUGAUUACGUCCCUGCCCUUUGUACACACGCGCCCGUCGCUACUACCGAUUGAAUGGUUUAGCAAGGUCCUCGGAUUGGUGCCGACUUGGUGGCAACACUAGGUGGAUACUGAAAAGAAGAUCAAACUUGAUCAUUUAGAGGAAGUAAAAAGUCGUAACAAGGUUUCCGUAGGUGAACUGCGGAAGGAUCAUUA